This 342-nucleotide unclassified non-coding RNA is filed under the name soil metagenome. RNAcentral's name for it is "partial contains 5.8S ribosomal RNA, internal transcribed spacer 2, and large subunit ribosomal RNA". The stretch from base 1 to 120 matches the Rfam family "5.8S ribosomal RNA", at positions 35 to 154 of the family's 154-position model. The record is from RNAcentral.
GAUGAAGAACGUAGCGAAAUGCGAUACGUAAUGUGAAUUGCAGAAUUCAGUGAAUCAUCGAGUCUUUGAACGCACAUUGCGCCCCCUGGUAUUCCGGGGGGCAUGCCUGUCCGAGCGUCAUUGCUGCCCUCAAGCACGGCUUGUGUGUUGGGCCUCCGUCCUCCUCCCGGGGGACGGGCCCGAAAGGCAGCGGCGGCACCGCGUCCGGUCCUCGAGCGUAUGGGGCUUCGUCACCCGCUCUUGUAGGCCCGGCCGGCGCUUGCCGACACAUCAAUCUUUUUUCCAGGUUGACCUCGGAUCAGGUAGGGAUACCCGCUGAACUUAAGCAUAUCAAUAGGAGGA